This 293-nucleotide ribosomal RNA is filed under the name uncultured bacterium. RNAcentral's name for it is "partial 16S ribosomal RNA". It matches the Rfam family "Bacterial small subunit ribosomal RNA", at positions 775 to 1067 of the family's 1533-position model. The record is from RNAcentral.
GGAUUAGAUACCCUGGUAGUCCACGCCGUAAACGAUGUCUACUAGUCGUCGGGGAUCUUGCAUUUCUGGUGACGCAGCUAACGCGAUAAGUAGACCGCCUGGGGAGUACGGCCGCAAGGUUAAAACUCAAAUGAAUUGACGGGGGCCCGCACAAGCGGUGGAGCAUGUGGUUUAAUUCGAUGCAACGCGAAGAACCUUACCAAGUCUUGACAUCCUGCGAAUUUUCUAGAGAUAGAUGGGUGCCUUCGGGAACGCAGAGACAGGUGCUGCAUGGCCGUCGUCAGCUCGUGCCG